GAAGAAGAAUCCUGAGGAAAGAACAAUGACUGCUAUGAGGAACAAAAAUGCAGAAACUAAAGACUGAAGGGAAAAAAGCAAACCCCACAUACGCUAUGUUUUUUGGUCUUCCAGUUUUACCUCAGAACUGGUUCAGCACAUAUGGAAUUAAAUAAAAAAUUAGCUUAAUUCGGACAACAAUUUUGAUUUGAAAGAUGCUUUGGGUGAUUGAAGGACAAGAAGAUCUACUAUUUUAUUAUUUGCACACAUAAAGCAGCAGCAUGACUUAACUUCACUCGCUCUUGACCCAAGGAGUGGUGGAUCAAAAUAAUCAAUGCUUUCCUAGAAUCCCAGUCUGCAUGAUUGUGGAUUUCACUCCAUAAAAGCAAUCUCUUCCUCCACCAGCACUUUCUAAAGCUGAAGUGAGGAUUUUUUUUUGAAAAGAAAUAAUUCUCUGAGAGGCCUCAAGAACUGAAUCCCAACACUCAUGGUCAGACCAAGAAAAGUGGAUUUGUAAAUUGAACCUUUUUGGUUGUGCCUCUGCUGCUGCUGAAAGGCAAUGAAAAUGUGCUGAGUGUGGAGGCAUAAGGGUGUUUUGUCUCAAACAUUCUGAGUGUUGCACCAGGAAAACUGUGAUUAGAAGUAAUUUUAGGUACCCUGUGGAAAUGUGUUGUAAAAUAUUAAGGGCUUGUUAGCCAGAAUUUUUGAGAAGUUUGUAGGAGAAGUGGGGAAUUUGAUUAAGUCCUUAAAAAAUUAAUGUCUUG
Hirundo rustica (Barn swallow) is the source of this 743-nucleotide long non-coding RNA. RefSeq lists it as uncharacterized. The transcript has 3 exons. The record is from RefSeq and is a predicted model, not a curated record. Lineage: Eukaryota; Metazoa; Chordata; Aves; Passeriformes; Hirundinidae.